GCGGUGACUACGAAGAUGAUGACUACGGCAAGCGUGAUUAAGGAUGAAACAUAGGUUGUCAAUCCAAAAGAAACAGUCAUUUUUCAUACAAAGAUUAAUAUGACUACGAUGAUGGGAGAAAAAUAUAAUGUUAUGCAAGAAGAUAAACAGAGUAAAUAGAAUAGAACAUUCUUCAUAUGGUAUAGUUCAUAUUAAUGAAAUUAAUAAUAGUGGAAGUAAUGCUUAUUCUCUGUCAACCCAAAAGUUCUAUAAACUAAACCCAAAACACUAAUCACUAAACUCUAAAAAAAAAUAUAAACCCUAACCCUAAUAUCAAAAUAUGCACACAAUACAUAAUAUGAAGCAUUAUUAAAAUAGAGUAGUAAAAAUCGAAAUAGCAUAGUACAUAUUAACGUCAACCCAAACCUUCCAUAAACUAAACCAAAAACACUAAUCACUAAACCCUAAAAAGAAAUAUAAACUCUAACCAAAUAUCAAAAUAUGCAUAUAGUACAUAAUAUGAAGUAUUAUCAAAUAGAAUAGUAACAAACGAAAUAGCAUAGUACAUAUUUUUCAAAUUUUGAAAUAUUUAUGAUUGCAGGAAUGAGAUAAUGCUUACCCCAAACGUCAAUCCAAACCUUCCAUAAACUAAACCCAAAACACUAAUCACUAAACCCUAAAAUAAAAUAUAAACUCUAACUCAAAUAUCAAAAUAUGGAUGUAGUACAUAAUAUGAAGCAUAUUAAAUAAAAUAGUAACAAACGAAAUAAUAUAGUACAUAUUGUCCAAAUAGCAUGGUAUAACCAAAAACUUACGAUACAAAUGAGGGCGCUACGACCUUAACGCUGUCGUGAUCUGUAGAUUUCAUGGCUAUGGCGAUGGUGGUUCAGUGAUAAAUGUGAAUAUGAAUGAGGCGAUAAUAAUUAUGAAAAAGGGAUACUGAUUAUAGAAAAAAAAAUCUAUAAAUACAAAACACAGUGGAAAAUUAGUGAUAAUCGUAUUGUAACGGCGUCAGAGGACAAGGUGGUAGAGAUGAAAGCAGACUGAUGGUAGUUGUUAAUCGAAGAAGAGGAGAUAUUUUCAUCUUUCAUUAACCGGUUACUAAGGAUAUUAUAGUAUAUAUUACAUAAAUAAUAGAAGUACUUUUUUCGUUGGUUAGAUAUUUAAUUAUGUUUUGAUUUGUAGCUAUCCAGCCCAAUUUUCCUUAUAAUAAAAAUUUCAUGGGUGUUCAGGACCAAUUCAAAAAGAGUAUUUGCACUCUACACACACUUUAGCUUAAUUAGGUAUAUACACAUUCACCAUUUCCAAUGUAUCUGUCGAAACUUUCAUGACCAUUUUACCCUUAAUACAUAUUUCGAUUAAGUUCCUGGUUGCAUGUAAUCAAAAUCUCAUCUUUUAGAUAUUUGUAUAUGAUAACCCAUUUUCUUACGGCAUCUUUGUGUCAGACAAGUUGGUUUGUCAGUUUUGAAACCUUUUCAUUUGCCAAAAUCCUCGAAUCUCGAUCUUCUUUCUAUCCCCCAUCUUAUUUCCAUAUUCUUCUCAUAUUCUUGUUGCUUUAAAUCAUUUUCUUGUGGGUAUUAUUGUAUUUUGAGGUGGUAAUGAUUUCUGAACUGGGAAGAAGGCCGAUGCUUAGAGAUUCCUCCUUUGGGGAUGAUUAUGAGAAAGAGAUUGGAGCUUCGCUUGGAGAGAAGUGGUGACGGCAAGAGGAAGCUGAUGAGCUCAAGAAAGAGCUUAACUUGUACCGAAGCGGCUCCGCUCCGCCCACUGUGGACUGUUCCUUUAGCGCCGCUGCCGGAGGGCUUUUCAGCGGCGGAUGUGGGUUUGGUGGAGGAAAUGGGUUUGGUUGUGAUAAUGAGGAGUUUAGGAGAUUUUUUGUAGUUUUUGUCCAAGGCCCUGUUAAAAUGAUGGCUGAUGAUCUUGAUGCUGAAGAAGCCACUCAUGUACCAGGGAAUGACAAUGUAGGUGACAAGUUAUGGUUAGCCGUUGGCGUUGUUCAUUACAUAGUCCAAAUUCAUUCUUGCUUUUGGGUUUACUAACUUUAGCAUCAUUAUUACUCUAGUACCAGGCCACUUAUCCGCUUAGCUUUCCAUUUAAUAGUUUCGCACAUAUUUUGUUAGUCUUGGACUUGUGUUGUACCUAUCAUUUGUCUUUGCUCAUAGCUUGUUUGUAUCCUACUACAAGGCUUGCUAAUUUUGCAAAAUGAGAAAGCUUAGCUAUGUAAUAGGUCUAAAAAUAUAUACACAUCGAAAAAACGACAAUGGCAAGUUUUGUUGUCAACCUC
Molecule: long non-coding RNA, 2260 nt
Organism: Brassica napus (rape)
Lineage: Eukaryota; Viridiplantae; Streptophyta; Magnoliopsida; Brassicales; Brassicaceae
Exons: 2
Source: RefSeq, a predicted model, not a curated record